AGGUCCAUGGAGCUUGCUCCGGAAGAUCUAGUGGCGAACGGGUGCGUAACACGUGAGAAACCUGUCCUGGACUCUGGGAUAACAGUUGGAAACGGCUGCUAAUACCGGAUGCCUUCAUUUUGACCGCAUGGUUGUUUGAAGAAAGAUUUAUCGGUUUGGGAGGGUCUCGCGGCCUAUCAGCUUGUUGGAGAGGUAACGGCUCACCAAGGCUUCGACGGGUAGCUGGUCUGAGAGGAUGAUCAGCCACACUGGAACUGAGACACGGUCCAGACCCC
This 275-nucleotide ribosomal RNA is filed under the name unidentified marine bacterioplankton. Its description in RNAcentral is "partial 16S ribosomal RNA". It matches the Rfam family "Bacterial small subunit ribosomal RNA", at positions 68 to 339 of the family's 1533-position model. The record is from RNAcentral.